RNAcentral lists this ribosomal RNA (444 nucleotides) under uncultured bacterium. RNAcentral describes it as "bacterial SSU rRNA". It matches the Rfam family "Bacterial small subunit ribosomal RNA", at positions 354 to 796 of the family's 1533-position model. The record is from RNAcentral.
GUGAGGAAUAUUGGUCAAUGGGCGAAAGCCUGAACCAGCCAAGUAGCGUGCAGGACGACGGCCCUCUGGGUUGUAAACUGCUUUUAGUCGGGAAUAAAAUGCGGCACGUGUGCCGCUUUGCAUGUACCGUCAGAAAAAGGACCGGCUAAUUCCGUGCCAGCAGCCGCGGUAAUACGGAAGGUCCAGGCGUUAUCCGGAUUUAUUGGGUUUAAAGGGAGCGCAGGCGGACUUUUAAGUCAGCUGUUAAAUUCGGUGGCUCAACCAUCGCAUGCAGUUGAAACUGGAGGUCUUGAGUGUACACAGGGAUGCUGGAAUUCAUGGUGUAGCGGUGAAAUGCUCAGAUAUCAUGAAGAACUCCAAUCGCGAAGGCAGGCAUCCGGGGUACAACUGACGCUGAGGCUCGAAAGUGCGGGUAUCAAACAGGAUUAGAAACCCUAGUAGUCC